Molecule: ribosomal RNA, 681 nt
Filed under: Microbacterium sp.
Lineage: Bacteria; Bacillati; Actinomycetota; Actinomycetes; Micrococcales; Microbacteriaceae
Description: bacterial SSU rRNA
Rfam family: Bacterial small subunit ribosomal RNA
Source: RNAcentral
CCAGCUUGCUGGGUGGAUUAGUGGCGAACGGGUGAGUAACACGUGAGCAACCUGCCCCUGACUCUGGGAUAAGCGCUGGAAACGGCGUCUAAUACUGGAUAUGUCCCGUCACCGCAUGGUGUGCGGGUGGAAAGAUUUUUCGGUUGGGGAUGGGCUCGCGGCCUAUCAGCUUGUUGGUGAGGUAAUGGCUCACCAAGGCGUCGACGGGUAGCCGGCCUGAGAGGGUGACCGGCCACACUGGGACUGAGACACGGCCCAGACUCCUACGGGAGGCAGCAGUGGGGAAUAUUGCACAAUGGGCGGAAGCCUGAUGCAGCAACGCCGCGUGAGGGAUGACGGCCUUCGGGUUGUAAACCUCUUUUAGCAGGGAAGAAGCGAGAGUGACGGUACCUGCAGAAAAAGCACCGGCUAACUACGUGCCAGCAGCCGCGGUAAUACGUAGGGUGCAAGCGUUAUCCGGAAUUAUUGGGCGUAAAGAGCUCGUAGGCGGUCUGUCGCGUCUGCUGUGAAAUCCCGAGGCUCAACCUCGGGCUUGCAGUGGGUACGGGCAGACUAGAGUGCGGUAGGGGAGAUUGGAAUUCCUGGUGUAGCGGUGGAAUGCGCAGAUAUCAGGAGGAACACCGAUGGCGAAGGCAGAUCUCUGGGCCGUAACUGACGCUGAGGAGCGAAAGGGUGGGGAGC